UACAUAGGGUGCAAGCGUUGUCCGGAAUUAUUGGGCGUAAAGAGCUCGUAGGCGGUCUGUCGCGUCGGCUGUGAAAUCCCGAGGCUCAACCUCGGGUCUGCAGUCGAUACGGGCAAACUAGAGUAUUGCAGGGAGACUGGAAUUCCUGGUGUAGCGGUGAAUGCGCAGAUAUCAGGAGGAACACCGGUGGCGAAGGCGGGUCUCUGGGCAAUAACUGACGCUGGAGGAGCGAAAGCGUGGGAGCGAACAGG
RNAcentral lists this ribosomal RNA (251 nucleotides) under uncultured bacterium. RNAcentral describes it as "partial 16S ribosomal RNA". It matches the Rfam family "Bacterial small subunit ribosomal RNA", at positions 524 to 776 of the family's 1533-position model. The record is from RNAcentral.